RNAcentral lists this unclassified non-coding RNA (332 nucleotides) under soil metagenome. RNAcentral describes it as "partial contains 5.8S ribosomal RNA, internal transcribed spacer 2, and large subunit ribosomal RNA". The stretch from base 1 to 120 matches the Rfam family "5.8S ribosomal RNA", at positions 35 to 154 of the family's 154-position model. The record is from RNAcentral.
GAUGAAGAACGCAGCGAAAUGCGAUACGUAAUGUGAAUUGCAGAAUUCAGUGAAUCAUCGAAUCUUUGAACGCGCAUUGCGCCCCCUGGUAUUCCGGGGGGCAUGCCUGUUCGAGCGUCAUUUCACCACUCAAGCCUCGCUUGGUAUUGGGCGACGCGGUCCGCCGCGCGCCUCAAAUCGACCGGCUGGGUCUUUCGUCCCCUCAGCGUUGUGGAAACUAUUCGCUAAAGGGUGCCGCGGGAGGCCACGCCGUAAAACAACCCCAUUUCUAAGGUUGACCUCGGAUCAGGUAGGGAUACCCGCUGAACUUAAGCAUAUCAAUAAGCGGAGGA